Molecule: ribosomal RNA, 509 nt
Filed under: uncultured bacterium
Lineage: Bacteria
Description: bacterial SSU rRNA
Rfam family: Bacterial small subunit ribosomal RNA
Source: RNAcentral
CUGGCGGCGUGCCUAAUACAUGCAAGUGGAACGCAUGAUGAUACCGUAGCUUGCUACACCAUUAAUCAUGAGCGCGAACGGGUGAGUAACGCGUAGGUAACCUGCCUACUAGCGGGGGAUAACUAUUGGAAACGAUAGCUAAUACCGCAUAAGAGUUUUUAACACAUGUUAGAAAUUUAAAAGGAGCAAAUGCUUCACUAGUAGACGGACCUGCGUUGUAUUAGCUAGUUGGUAAGGUAACGGCUUACCAAGGCGACGAUACAUAGCCGACCUGAGAGGGUGAUCGGCCACACUGGGACUGAGACACGGCCCAGACUCCUACGGGAGGCAGCAGUAGGGAAUCUUCGGCAAUGGGGGGAACCCUGACCGAGCAACGCCGCGUGAGUGGAAAAGAAGGUUUUCGGAUCGUAAAGCUCUGUUGUAAGAGAAGAACGUUGAGUAGAGUGGAAAGUUACUCAAGUGACGGUAUCUUACCAGAAAGGGACGGCUAACUACGUGCCAGCAGCUGC